Molecule: non-coding RNA, 73 nt
Organism: Phaethon lepturus (White-tailed tropicbird)
Lineage: Eukaryota; Metazoa; Chordata; Aves; Phaethontiformes; Phaethontidae
Source: Rfam
GCUGAAGUAGCUCAGCUGGGAGAGCGUUAGACUGAAGAUCUAAAGGUCCCUGGUUCAAACCCGGGCUUCAGCA